RNAcentral lists this ribosomal RNA (253 nucleotides) under uncultured bacterium. RNAcentral's name for it is "partial 16S ribosomal RNA". It matches the Rfam family "Bacterial small subunit ribosomal RNA", at positions 524 to 776 of the family's 1533-position model. The record is from RNAcentral.
UACGUAGGGGGCAAGCGUUGUCCGGAAUCAUUGGGCGUAAAGAGCGUGUAGGCGGCCCGAUAAGUCCGCUGUGAAAGUCGGGGGCUCAACCCUCGGAGGCCGACCGAUACUGUCGGGCUAGAGUCCGGAAGAGGCGAGUGGAAUUCCUGGUGUAGCGGUGAAAUGCGCAGAUAUCAGGAGGAACACCAAUGGCGAAGGCAGCUCGCUGGGACGGUACUGACGCUGAGGCGCGAAAGCGUGGGGAGCAAACAGG